Molecule: non-coding RNA, 45 nt
Filed under: Schistosoma margrebowiei
Lineage: Eukaryota; Metazoa; Platyhelminthes; Trematoda; Strigeidida; Schistosomatidae
Source: RNAcentral
AUCCAGUUGACAAGUCCCAAAUAGAACGAAACGCGUGUCCUGGAU